This 288-nucleotide long non-coding RNA is filed under the name Carica papaya (papaya). Its description in RNAcentral is "long non-coding RNA (CPAP_LNC005175)". Lineage: Eukaryota; Viridiplantae; Streptophyta; Magnoliopsida; Brassicales; Caricaceae. The record is from RNAcentral.
GCACCAGCAGAGUAUGAUCCGGUGCCCCAACCGCCGCAUCACCCGGCACUACCACAGUACAAUUUGGUGCCUCCACUGUAUCAUCAAGUACCACUGCAGGGUCAUCCAGUCCAUCCUCAACACAGUCCAAUCCAUCAUCCACGGGACCUAAGUCCUCUCAUGAUGGACCCAGGCUACAUAGAAAGGGGAAUCCUCCUUUAAAAAGGCCAAGUUCUGGUUAAUUGAGACAGAGAAGACAUUAAAGACUCUUGGAGUGAUUCUCGAAUAGAAUGUCAUCCUUGCUACUUA